Paramormyrops kingsleyae is the source of this 1369-nucleotide non-coding RNA. The record is from RefSeq and is a predicted model, not a curated record. Lineage: Eukaryota; Metazoa; Chordata; Actinopteri; Osteoglossiformes; Mormyridae.
UAGGGGCCUCAGCUGACUCACUCGGCUCUUUCUGUCAAAGAUCUGCUCUGGUGUGUUCCUGGGAGGAUGAGGAUACCUAAACCAGCUUUAGUAUCCAUAAUGAAGAGCUCCUAGUGUGAUCUCUCAGAAGUGAUGCACUAACGAUUAAGAUCUGGGAGACUACCCUGCGGAAUUUCAUCUGACGCCAGUGGACAUCUAACUGAUGCCUUUGCCUGCAUAUAAGGCAAAGCUGACCCAUCCGUACCACAUGAAUUCUCCAGGAUGAGCACAGCGGUUAAACACUUCCUCUGGGACAGCUGCUAAUAUACAUGUCAUGGGCAGGCCAGUUUCACCAUGGCGCUGAGCAGACUCAGGUAUCGCGGUGGCAGGAAAGAGAGGAGAAGUCGCUUGCGGACCAGCCAUCACUCCUGGAAGUUCCCCGAGUCUCCAGGAAGUCGGCACCUCCUCCCUGAUUCAUGCUCUCCUGGAAAUCACACACUUCAGCCUGACCACCUCAGUCCUUUACAGCAGACUGCUACCAUUCAGAAAGUUACCAGCAAGUCAUUGGAUUGUAUGUCCACUAUCUUACAGAACCACCCCCCUUUUUGGAAAUCAGUAUUUCAAAGAUGAGGUGCUUGCUUUUGAAACAAAUAUGCCUCAGGGAUCAAUUAAUUUCAACACCAGCUACUGUGGUGGCUUCAGUAUCAUUUUGUGCUGAUUUGCAGAAAAAGGGAUUAAUUAUUGCCUUUUUAAACAAAUAUAACACCCCUGAAAGCACUGUGGCUUUUUUGUGAUACAAACUCCUCUGAAGUGUGAAGAAAUAAGCAAACGAUGUCCCAAAACCCAAUGUUUUUUUUCAUGGCACAAGAUUCGCCAGCUCCUCGGCAUCUGAUAAGGUGCUGAGCCGCUUCGAGCCAAAGUUACGGAGAAGUGUUUAGGGAGAGGGAGGCUGGAGAGGCGUCAGCAACCCGCUGACUAAAACGCAGUUCAUCACUGCGGACAAAUAUGGAUGCCUUUGCUAAACAGUGAUGUCGAGGACUUCCACUUGGGACCAGCUGUGACGACGGAGGCAUGCACACUGGGGAUAAAUCCCCCAUAUCAGCUGAAAGCUCCCAGUGUUUAUUCUUAUCGUUGGUUCCCCAGGUGUCCUGCUGCUUCUUGUCGUAACAGGGACUCUGUGUAGGUUUCACAGGUGUGAUCCUGGGACAUAUUACGUAUCGCAUCGAUUGUACUGUAUAUCUUGUGAUUGUCCAUAAUAAGCAAUUUGGGAUGGCAAAAUACAUUUUGACACUAAGGUGCACACAAUGGAGUCUAUGUCUAAUCUGUACCAAAUAGGAAACUUUAUUUGUUUAGUAAUGAAUUUUGUGCCAAAUCCAAAUCAAAUUGCAGC